GAUGAACGCUGGCGGCGUGCCUAAUACAUGCAAGUCGAGCGAACGGACGAGAAGCUUGCUUCUCUGAUGUUAGCGGCGGACGGGUGAGUAACACGUGGAUAACCUACCUAUAAGACUGGGAUAACUUCGGGAAACCGGAGCUAAUACCGGAUAAUAUUUUGAACCGCAUGGUUCAAAAGUGAAAGACGGUCUUGCUGUCACUUAUAGAUGGAUCCGCGCUGCAUUAGCUAGUUGGUAAGGUAACGGCUUACCAAGGCAACGAUGCAUAGCCGACCUGAGAGGGUGAUCGGCCACACUGGAACUGAGACACGGUCCAGACUCCUACGGGAGGCAGCAGUAGGGAAUCUUCCGCAAUGGGCGAAAGCCUGACGGAGCAACGCCGCGUGAGUGAUGAAGGUCUUCGGAUCGUAAAACUCUGUUAUUAGGGAAGAACAUAUGUGUAAGUAACUGUGCACAUCUUGACGGUACCUAAUCAGAAAGCCACGGCUAACUACGUGCCAGCAGCCGCGGUAAUACGUAGGUGGCAAGCGUUAUCCGGAAUUAUUGGGCGUAAAGCGCGCGUAGGCGGUUUUUUAAGUCUGAUGUGAAAGCCCACGGCUCAACCGUGGAGGGUCAUUGGAAACUGGAAAACUUGAGUGCAGAAGAGGAAAGUGGAAUUCCAUGUGUAGCGGUGAAAUGCGCAGAGAUAUGGAGGAACACCAGUGGCGAAGGCGACUUUCUGGUCUGUAACUGACGCUGACGUGCGAAAGCGUGGGGAUCAAACAGGAUUAGAUACCCUGGUAGUCCACGCCGUAAACGAUGAGUGCUAAGUGUUAGGGGGUUUCCGCCCCUUAGUGCUGCAGCUAACGCAUUAAGCACUCCGCCUGGGGAGUACGACCGCAAGGUUGAAACUCAAAGGAAUUGACGGGGACCCGCACAAGCGGUGGAGCAUGUGGUUUAAUUCGAAGCAACGCGAAGAACCUUACCAAAUCUUGACAUCCUUUGACAACUCUAGAGAUAGAGCUUUCCCCUUCGGGGGACAAAGUGACAGGUGGUGCAUGGUUGUCGUCAGCUCGUGUCGUGAGAUGUUGGGUUAUGUCCCGCAACGAGCGCAACCCUUAAGCUUAGUUGCCAUCAUUAAGUUGGGCACUCUAAGUUGACUGCCGGUGACAAACCGGAGGAAGGUGGGGAUGACGUCAAAUCAUCAUGCCCCUUAUGAUUUGGGCUACACACGUGCUACAAUGGACAAUACAAAGGGCAGCGAAACCGUGAGGUCAAGCAAAUCCCAUAAAGUUGUUCUCAGUUCGGAUUGUAGUCUGCAACUCGACUACAUGAAGCUGGAAUCGCUAGUAAUCGUAGAUCAGCAUGCUACGGUGAAUACGUUCCCAGGUCU
This 1372-nucleotide ribosomal RNA is filed under the name uncultured bacterium. Its description in RNAcentral is "bacterial SSU rRNA". It matches the Rfam family "Bacterial small subunit ribosomal RNA", at positions 28 to 1381 of the family's 1533-position model. The record is from RNAcentral.